Molecule: long non-coding RNA, 539 nt
Filed under: Homo sapiens (human)
Lineage: Eukaryota; Metazoa; Chordata; Mammalia; Primates; Hominidae
Description: non-protein coding lnc-MXRA5-8:1
Source: RNAcentral
CUUCGAAACUUACCCUGAGAAUGACUGGGACACAGCCGCGCCCGUGCCGCAGAAGGAUUUAGAAAUCUUCAAGAAUUUCUGAGGACAGGAGCUCACAUCUGGAAGUCUUCCCAGUUAUGUGAAGUGGAAAGCCAAUUGGCUAACCAACACCAUUCGAAACAGACACCAAAUGUCACAAUUGCUGACUGGGGAGAGGAACCAACCUGCUGAAAGACGUGAAACAGGAAGAUUGGAAUCUGCCUGGAACAAAGAACUGCACCUAAGCAGACCAGAAGCAAAAUGUCUUCUUCACGGCAUAAGGACAUCUCCACUUUUCUCUGUACCUGUGUGUAUAGAAAUAGAUUAGAGCACAGUUGAAAUUCAUGGAACUGGCAUUAUUUAAGCAACUGGAAUUCCACACUGUAGGAAGGUUUUGAAAAUUGUUUGGUUGUAGAUUUUAUCUUAUCCUUUAGUGUUGUGUUCCUACUGUGAUGUCUUGGUUUUUGUCAUAGACUUAAGUUUAUAAGUUUGAACUGGACUUGUUCGAUUAUAACCACAAA